RNAcentral lists this unclassified non-coding RNA (236 nucleotides) under Bacidia lutescens. RNAcentral describes it as "partial contains 5.8S ribosomal RNA, internal transcribed spacer 2, and large subunit ribosomal RNA". Lineage: Eukaryota; Fungi; Ascomycota; Lecanoromycetes; Lecanorales; Ramalinaceae. The record is from RNAcentral.
CGCACAUUGCGCCCUCUGGUAUUCCGGGGGGCAUGCCUGUCCGAGCGUCAUUGCAACUCUCAAGCGUAGCUUGGUUUUGGACUUCACUUCGCAAGUAGUGGGUUCGAAAAGCAGUGGCUGUCCGGGGUGACUUCGAGUGUAGUAAAUUUUCCCGCUCUGAAGCUCAUGUUGUGACUGCCAGAACGUCAAUCUUCCAGAUUGACCUCGGAUCAGGUAGGGAUACCCGCUGAACUUAA